RNAcentral lists this ribosomal RNA (497 nucleotides) under uncultured bacterium. RNAcentral's name for it is "partial 16S ribosomal RNA". It matches the Rfam family "Bacterial small subunit ribosomal RNA", at positions 28 to 507 of the family's 1533-position model. The record is from RNAcentral.
GACGAACGCUGGCGGCGUGCCUAAUACAUGCCAGUUGAGCGCUGAAGGCUGGUACUUGUACCAACUGGAUGAGCAGCGAACGGGUGAGUAACGCGUGUGGAAUCUGCCUUUGAGCGGGGGACAACAUUUGGAAACGAAUGCUAAUACCGCAUAAAAACUUUAAACACAAGUUUUAAGUUUGAAAGAUGCAAUUGCAUCACUCAAAGAUGAUCCCGCGUUGUAUUAGCUAGUUGGUGAGGUAAAGGCUCACCAAGGCGAUGAUACAUAGCCGACCUGAGAGGGUGGUCGGCCGCCUUGGGACGGUGACACGGCCCAAACUCCUACGGGAGGCAGCAGUAGGGAAUCUUCGGCAAUGGGCGGAAGUCUGACCGAGCAACGCCGCGUGAGUGAAGAAGGUUUUCGGAUCGUAAAACUCUGUUGGUAGAGAAGAACGUUGGUGAGAGUGGAAAGCUCAUCAAGUGACGGUAACUACCCAGAAAGCGACGGCUAACUACGUG